CCUACGGGCGGCAGCAGUGAGGAAUAUUGGUCAAUGGGCGCGAGCCUGAACCAGCCAAGUAGCGUGAAGGAUGACUGCCCUACGGGUUGUAAACUUCUUUUAUAAAGGAAUAAAGUGCGGCACGUGUGCCUUUUUGUAUGUACUUUAUGCAUAAGGAUCGGCUAACUCCGUGCCAGCAGCCGCGGUAAUACGGAGGAUCCGAGCGUUAUCCGGAUUUAUUGGGUGUAACGGGAGCGUAGAUGGGUUGUUAAGUCAGUUGUGAAAGUUUGCGGCUCAACCGUAAAAUUGCAAUUGAGACUGGCAGCCUUGAGUACAGUUGAGGUAGGCGGAAUUCGUGGUGUAGCGGUGAAAUGCGUAGAUAUCACGAAGAACUCCGAUUGCGAAGGCAGCUUACUAAACUGCAACUGACAUUGAUGCUCGAAAGUGUGGGUAUCAAACAGGAUUAGAUACCCCAGUAGUC
RNAcentral lists this ribosomal RNA (460 nucleotides) under uncultured bacterium. RNAcentral describes it as "partial 16S ribosomal RNA". It matches the Rfam family "Bacterial small subunit ribosomal RNA", at positions 338 to 795 of the family's 1533-position model. The record is from RNAcentral.